GGCUCAGUAACACGUGGACAACCUGCCCUUGGGAGGGGGAUAAUCUCGGGAAACUGAGAAUAAUACCCCAUCGGCUUAGGCUACUGGAAGGUGCCUAAGCUCAGAGCUCCGGCGCCCAAGGAUGGGUCUGCGGCCUAUCAGGUAGUAGUGGGUGUAACGGACCCACUAGCCUUUCGACGGGGUACGGGCUUAUGGAAGUAGUCGCCCGGAAGAUGAACUUUGAAGACACGAAGUCCAGGCCCCACGGGGCGCAGCAGUUACGAAAACUUCGCAAUGGGCUCACGCCCGACGAGGGGACUCCCAGUGCCUGCGCACUGCGUAGGCUUUUCUCUGGCCUAAAAAGCAAGAGGAAUAAAAGGCGGGCAAGACGGGUGCCAGCCGCCGCGGUAACACCCGCGCCUUGAGUGGUGGUCGUUAUUACUGAGCCUAAAGCGUCCGCAGCCGGCUUCGUAAAUCCUUGGGUAAAUCGGGCCGCUCAACGGUUCGCCCUCCGAGGACACUGCGAGGCUUGGGACCGGGUGAGGCGAGAAGGUACUCCCGGGGUAGGGGUAAAAUCCUGUAAUCCUGGGAGGACUACCGGGUUGCGAAGGCGUCUCGCUAGAACGGAUCCGACGGUAAGGGACGAAAGGCCUGGGGCGCAAACGGGAUUAGAUACCCCGGUAGUCCAGGCUGUAAACGCUGCGAGCUUGGUGUUGGGGCUCCUACGAGGGGUCCCAGUGCCGUAGCGAAGGUGAUAAGCUCGCCGCUUGGGGAGUACGGCCGCAAGGCUGAAACUCAAAGGAAUUGACGG
This 790-nucleotide ribosomal RNA is filed under the name uncultured archaeon. Its description in RNAcentral is "bacterial SSU rRNA". It matches the Rfam family "Archaeal small subunit ribosomal RNA", at positions 87 to 871 of the family's 1478-position model. The record is from RNAcentral.